GACGAACGCUGGCGGCGUGCUUAACACAUGCAAGUCGAACGGAAAGGCCCUGCUUUUGUGGGGUGCUUGAGUGGCGAACGGGUGAGUAACACGUGAGUAGCCUGCCCUUAACUUUGGGAUAACUUCAGGAAACUGGGGCUAAUACCGGAUAGGAGCUCCUGCUGCAUGGUGGGGGUUGGAAAGUUUCGGCGGUUGGGGAUGGACUCGCGGCUUAUCAGCUUGUUGGUGGGGUAGUGGCUUACCAAGGCUUUGACGGGUAGCCGGCCUGAGAGGGUGACCGGCCACAUUGGGACUGAGAUACGGCCCAGACUCCUACGGGAGGCAGCAGUGGGGAAUAUUGCACAAUGGGCGGAAGCCUGAUGCAGCAACGCCGCGUGCGGGAUGACGGCCUUCGGGUUGUAAACCGCUUUCGCCUGUGACGAAGCGUGAGUGACGGUAAUGGGUAAAGAAGCACCGGCUAACUACGUG
This 468-nucleotide ribosomal RNA is filed under the name uncultured bacterium. RNAcentral's name for it is "partial 16S ribosomal RNA". It matches the Rfam family "Bacterial small subunit ribosomal RNA", at positions 28 to 507 of the family's 1533-position model. The record is from RNAcentral.